UAGACAAGCCUGGGGAGGACUCCUGCUUCGGCUUCUCUGGGAAUCUGGGAGGCACCCAGGAGUGAGGGAGCAGGUCUUCCCACCCCUGUAACCUGUGGCUCCCAGUGUGUCCCCCUCUGGGCUGACCCAUGUCUUGGGCUCCAGGUGGAUCAGCUCAAGCUCAAGGUGAGUCGGCUGGAGGAAGAGUGUGCACUGCUUCGAAGGGCCAGGGGGCCGCCCCCUGGGACAGAGGAGAAGGAGAAGGAGAAGGAGCCAGACAAUGUGGACCUCGUCUCUGAGCUGCGUGCUGAGAACCAGCGGCUGACGGCGUCACUGCGGGAGUUGCAGGAGGGCCUGCAGCAGGAGGCGAGCCGGCCAGGGGCCCCGGGCUCCGAGCGCAUCCUGCUGGACAUCCUAGAGCAUGACUGGCGGGAGGCGCAGGACAGCAGGCAGGAGCUGUGCCAGAAGCUGCAUGCCGUGCAGGGGGAGCUGCAGUGGGCCGAGGAGCUGCGCGACCAGUACCUGCAGGAGAUGGAAGACCUGCGGCUCAAGCACCGCACCCUGCAGAAGGACUGUGACCUGUACAAGCACC
This 571-nucleotide small RNA is filed under the name Pongo abelii (Sumatran orangutan). RNAcentral's name for it is "retained intron". Lineage: Eukaryota; Metazoa; Chordata; Mammalia; Primates; Hominidae. The record is from RNAcentral.